CACAUCGCUUGGGUGGAUGUCAUCUUUGCCAGAUGGAUGCUUCGGGUGGAGAAGAUCUUCAUCUAAGGUGACUCUGCCACCAUUAUUGGUUGGCUCCAGGAUAGCGCGCAGCUGCUGGAGACUCAUCUACUCAUUCAUGAUAUCUAGAUGUCUCUACAUUUUUCUGUUGCAAUGUCAAUUUGGCAUAUUUGUUGGGAGGCGAACAGCACGG
Molecule: long non-coding RNA, 211 nt
Filed under: Elaeis guineensis (African oil palm)
Lineage: Eukaryota; Viridiplantae; Streptophyta; Magnoliopsida; Arecales; Arecaceae
Description: long non-coding RNA (EGUI_LNC050898)
Source: RNAcentral